This 1122-nucleotide ribosomal RNA is filed under the name Commelinaceomyces aneilematis. RNAcentral's name for it is "SSU rRNA". It matches the Rfam family "Eukaryotic small subunit ribosomal RNA", at positions 20 to 1152 of the family's 1831-position model. The record is from RNAcentral. Lineage: Eukaryota; Fungi; Ascomycota; Sordariomycetes; Hypocreales; Clavicipitaceae.
GUAGUCAUAAAGCUUGUCUCAAAGAUUAAGCCAUGCAUGUCUAAGUAUAAGCAAUUAUACGGCGAAACUGCGAAUGGCUCAUUACACAAGUUAUCGUUUAUUUGAUAGUAUCUUACUACUUGGAUAACUGUGGUAAUUCUAGAGCUAAUACAUGCUAAAAAUCCCGACUUCGGAAGGGAUGUAUUUAUUAGAUCAAAAAACCAAUGCCCUCCGGGCUCUGUGGGGAAUCAUAAUAACUGCGCGAAUCGUAUGGCCUUGCGCUGGCGAUGGUUCAUUCAAAUUUCUUCCCUAUCAACUUUCGAUGUUCGGGUAGUGGCCAAACAUGGUUGCAACGGGUAACGGAGGGUUAGGGCUCGAUCCCGGAGAAGGAGCCUGAGAAACGGCUACUACAUCCAAGGAAGGCAGCAGGCGCGCAAAUUACCCAAUCCCGAUCCGGGGAGGUAGUGACAAUAAAUACUGAUACAGGGCUCUUUUGGGUCUUGUAAUUGGAAUGAGUACAAUUUAAAUCCCUUAACGAGGAACAAUUGGAGGGCAAGUCUGGUGCCAGCAGCCGCGGUAAUUCCAGCUCCAAUAGCGUAUAUUAAAGUUGUUGUGGUUAAAAAGCUCGUAGUUGAACCUUGGGCCUGGCUGGCCGGUCCGCCUCACCGCGUGUACUGGUCCGGCCGGGUCUUUCACUCUGUGGAACCACAUGCCCUUCACUGGGUGUGGCGGGGAAACAGGACUUUUACUUUGAAAAAAUUAGAGUGCUCCAGGCAGGCCUAUGCUCGAAUACAUUAGCAUGGAAUAAUGAAAUAGGACGUGCGGUUCUAUUUUGUUGGUUUCUAGGACCGCCGUAAUGAUUAAUAGGGACAGUCGGGGGCAUCAGUAUUCAAUUGUCAGAGGUGAAAUUCUUGGAUUUAUUGAAGACUAACUACUGCGAAAGCAUUUGCCAAGGAUGUUUUCAUUAAUCAGGAACGAAAGUUAGGGGAUCGAAGACGAUCAGAUACCGUCGUAGUCUUAACCAUAAACUAUGCCGACUAGGGAUCGGACGAUGUUAUUUUUUGACUCGUUCGGCACCUUACGAGAAAUCAAAGUGCUUGGGCUCCAGGGGGAGUAUGGUCGCAAGGCUGAAACUUAAAGGAU